UGAAUAGUGUCGUAUUCGUGAAUAGUGCCGUAUACGUGAACAAUACCGUAUACGUGAAUAGUAACCCCGACACUAAAAGACAAGAAUUUCACAAGAAAAAUCUUAACAAUAUUUCGGUAUAAUGAUAUUGAAAGAAAUAAUAUCAUUUAUAAAAACAAUAACAUCCCUUACCUCAGAAAGAAUAGUACUUCUACCUGGAAUAUCAGAUAUAAUGCUGAAGAAACUUGCACCGUAUAGCAACACUCAAAGUAUUAAAAUACUGACAAGAAUACGCUCGAUAAUAUAGAGAGAAGAUUUCAGUUUUUGGUGUGAUUUUCAAAUUUUAACCUAAGCACCCUAUUUAUAGGAAAUUGCUUAGAACACCAAAGCAGAAAAUUUAAUAAAAUAUUAAUAUAUUUUUUAUAAAUUCCUACGCACACCAAAGACAUCUGAUAUCAACCAUUAACAUGUGCAAGUGGG
RNAcentral lists this long non-coding RNA (459 nucleotides) under Panax ginseng (ginseng). RNAcentral describes it as "long non-coding RNA (PGIN_LNC007446)". The record is from RNAcentral. Lineage: Eukaryota; Viridiplantae; Streptophyta; Magnoliopsida; Apiales; Araliaceae.